Oncorhynchus keta (chum salmon) is the source of this 896-nucleotide long non-coding RNA. RefSeq lists it as uncharacterized. The transcript has 5 exons. NCBI's taxonomy places the organism in Eukaryota, Metazoa, Chordata, Actinopteri, Salmoniformes, Salmonidae. The record is from RefSeq and is a predicted model, not a curated record.
UUAGGUUCCAGACCUGAAAGCUUUACAUUAGGUUCCAGACCUGAAAGCUUUACAUUAGGUUCAAGUCCUGAAAGCUUUACAUUAGGUUCAAGACCUGAAAGCUUUACAUUAGGUUCAAGACCUGAAAGCUUUACAUUAGGUUCAAGUCCUGAAAGCUUUACAUUAGGUUCCAGUCCUGAAAGCUUUACAUUAGGUUCAAGACCUGAAAGCUUUACAUUAGGUUCCAGUCCUGAAAGCUUUACAUUAGGUUCCAGACCUGAAAGCUUUACAUUAGGUUCCAGACCUGAAAGCUUUACAUUAGGUUCCAGACCUGAAAGCUUUACAUUAGGUUCCAGACCUGAAAGCUUUACAUUAGGUUCCAGACCUGAAAGCUUUACAUUAGGUUCCAGUCCUGAAAGCUUUACAUUAGGUUCCAGUCCUGAAAGCUUUACAUUAGGUUCCAGUCCUGAAAGCUUUACAUUAGGUUCCAGACCUGAAAGCUUUACAUUAGGUUCCAGUCCUGAAAGCUUUACAUUAGGUUCAAGUCCUGAAAGCUUUACAUUAGGUUCAAGUCCUGAAAGCUUUACAUUAGGUUCAAGUCCUGAAAGCUUUACAUUAGGUUCAAGUCCUGAAAGCUUUACAUUAGGUUCCAGUCCUGAAAGCUUUACAUUAGGUUCCAGUCCUGAAAGCUUUACAUUAGGUUCCAGUCCUGAAAGCUUUACAUUAGGUUCCAGACCUGAAAGCUUUACAUUAGGUUCCAGUCCUGAAAGCUUUACAUUAGGUUCCAGACCUGAAAGCUUUACAUUAGGUUCCAGUCCUGAAAGCUUUACAUUAGGUUCCAGAGCUGAAAGCUUUACAUUAGGUUCCAGUCCUGAAAGCUUUACAUUAGGUUCCAGUCCUGAAAGCUUUACAUUAGG